Molecule: unclassified non-coding RNA, 314 nt
Filed under: uncultured fungus
Lineage: Eukaryota; Fungi
Description: sequence contains ITS2
Rfam family: 5.8S ribosomal RNA (bases 1-52)
Source: RNAcentral
AACGCACCUUGCACCCUGGGGCAUUCCCCAGGGUAUGUCUGUCUGAGUGUCAUUUGAACUCUCAAAGUCCCUUUCUCUUAACUGAGACUGUGUUCUUUGGAUCGUGGGCGCUUGCGGGCCUGGUCCGCUCGCCUCAAAUUGAAUGUGGCGGUCUUCUCUGAAGCCUGUGUCGGGUUUGACCUGGAGUGAUAGAAGUCUUUCGAGAUCUCCGGGAACUGCCUUUAUGGCGGCCUGCUAUGGUGGGAGUGAUUGCUUUGAUAGACUCAUCUGACGUUUUUGACCUCAGAUCAGGCAGGACUACCCGCUGAACUUAA